Molecule: ribosomal RNA, 443 nt
Filed under: uncultured bacterium
Lineage: Bacteria
Description: partial 16S ribosomal RNA
Rfam family: Bacterial small subunit ribosomal RNA
Source: RNAcentral
CCUACGGGAGGCAGCAGUGGGGAAUAUUGGGCAAUGGGCGCAAGCCUGACCCAGCAACGCCGCGUGAAGGAAGAAGGCUUUCGGGGUGUAAACUUCUUUUCUAAGGGACGAAGAAAGUGACGGUACCUGAGGAAUAAUCCACGGAUAACUACGAGCAAGCAGCCGGGGGAAUUCGUAGGUGGCAAGCGUUAUCCGGAUUUAUUGGGGGUAAAGGGCGGGUCGGCGGGGGCGAAAGUCAGAUGUGAAAAGUCCGGGCUCAACCCGAGGCCUGCAUUUGAAACUGGAUUUCUUGAGUGCUGGAGAGGCAAGCGGAAUUCCGUGUGUAGCGGUGAAAUGCGUAGAUAUACGGAGGAACACCAGUGGCGAAGGCGGAUUGCUGGACAGUAACUGACGCUGAGGCGCGAAAGCGUGGGGAGCAAACAGGAUUAGAUACCCCUGUAGUC